Mauremys reevesii (Reeves's turtle) is the source of this 680-nucleotide long non-coding RNA. RefSeq lists it as uncharacterized. The transcript has 3 exons. The record is from RefSeq and is a predicted model, not a curated record. Lineage: Eukaryota; Metazoa; Chordata; Testudines; Geoemydidae.
CCAUGUGUAAAAGCAGAUAUGGGAUACCUCAGUGUAGACAUACUCUUAGACUUGGCAGGAACCAGUAGAUGGUGUACCUAAGAAAGUGAAGUCCUGCAGAUUGGAAGAGAACUCUCCUCUGGAAAACUCCUCAUUUUGAAGGUACCCACGGGAAGGGACUACAACCUAAUUCUGAAAACUGGACCUUUUCUAUGACACCAUCUUGGCCUUAUCAACUGUCUCCCUUCAUCCACAUUGGAACAGAGAAUGAGGAGGAAGUUAUGCUUUCCUGAGAGGCUGGAGACCUAGGAUUUCUUGGACUCAUGACAUUACUUGGAUUUUAUAUACUUUUUCUAGGCUUUAUAGUUGGGAGAACGGGCACCUUGCACAAGCAUAUUCUCUAGGAAAAUAGUUAUGGACUAAAGCAACAUGGGACACAACAGGGGCUCUUGAGAGCUGAAUUGCCAAAGUGGGAAGGAGCUUCAAGUGUUUGAUGCUUUCCUGUCACUGGGCCCAAGCCUGCUGAAUGCCCACGUGCUCCGGUCUCGGUGAAAUUUCCCCGAUACAGGUGAAUGUUCCUGCUGCUCGGAGGUGAACAGCACAGGUGUGGUCAGUGGGCCAAGCGUCUGUUCUUGGCACAGAAUCCAUUGUCACCUGUAUUGCUCUACAAAGAGUGCAGCAGAAAGCUGCUCUGAUGUGGU